UAAAUCAUUAUAAUUUCGAAUCUAAAUUAGAGGAAUCGUACACUAAUAUACUUGAAUUUGACAAUAUUCGCCAAGUCUUUUAUGAUUUAAUAUUGCACUUGUCUAAUGGAGAAAAAAGUGAAAAAAAUGAAUUUGAGUAUUGUAAACAAUAUUCUUCUUUCCAUCAAGGUCUGUAUAAUGUACACAGACAAGUUGUAAUUAAAAGUUUUCAAGAGUUUAGUGUGCGAUAUUUCUCUUUAAUGGGACAGGCAAUUUGUGAUUCACAAGGCUAUAUGUGGGAACUCAAACGGAUGGAGGAAAACUUAUUCAAUUCAUUGAAAACAAUAAUGGAGUUAACCAGGGAAGUUUUGAACAACACGACAUAUUAUAUGUAUCCGUGUGAUCCGUCAUAUUUUGA
Cotesia glomerata is the source of this 397-nucleotide long non-coding RNA. RefSeq lists it as uncharacterized. Lineage: Eukaryota; Metazoa; Arthropoda; Insecta; Hymenoptera; Braconidae. The record is from RefSeq and is a predicted model, not a curated record. The transcript has 3 exons.